GACGAACGUUGGCGGCGUGCCUAAUACAUGCAAGUCAACUGAAAUACCGGUAGCAAUACUGGUAUGGAGGUGGCGCACGGGUGAGUAACACGUAGGUAAUCUGCCUUCAGGUCUGACAUAACCCAUCGAAAGGUGAGCUAAUAUCAGAUGAUGCAGCGGCUUGACAUCAAGACAGUUGUUAAAGCUUCGGCGCCUGAAGAUGAGCCUGCGUCUGAUUAGCUAGUUGGCGGGGUAACGGCCCACCAAGGCUGCGAUCAGUAGCUGGUCUGAGAGGAUGAUCAGUCACACUGGAACUGAGACACGGUCCAGACUCCUACGGGAGGCAGCAGUAAGGAAUAUUGCUCAAUGGCCGAAAGGCUGAAGCAGCAACGCCGCGUGAGGGAUGAAGGUCUUCGGAUUUGUAAACCCCUUUCGGGAGGGAAGAGUGGGACGGGCAACCGUUCGGACGGUACCUCCAGAAGCAGCCACGGCUAACUUCG
RNAcentral lists this ribosomal RNA (479 nucleotides) under uncultured bacterium. Its description in RNAcentral is "bacterial SSU rRNA". It matches the Rfam family "Bacterial small subunit ribosomal RNA", at positions 28 to 505 of the family's 1533-position model. The record is from RNAcentral.